Juglans microcarpa x Juglans regia is the source of this 2681-nucleotide RNA transcript. It is a transcript of the gene named solute carrier family 40 member 3, chloroplastic, with no coding region annotated. The record is from RefSeq and is a predicted model, not a curated record. NCBI's taxonomy places the organism in Eukaryota, Viridiplantae, Streptophyta, Magnoliopsida, Fagales, Juglandaceae. The transcript has 15 exons.
AAACUUGGCAUAAUUUGACUGACGCAAGCUGUAUGCAUUGUAAUUCACUGAUCCAAAACUUAGAACCACAGAGAGUCAUCCACGCACGCUUAGAGCUGUCCGCCCGCCGGCGGACUCACUCAGCUCAGACGUCAGGUCGAUGCCAAACCACUUCUAAACACCACGAAACGGAUAAGCCUGAAGUUUCUGAAAGACUGAGACUAAACCCCAAUACGAAAAAGAAAACCCUUAUAAAUUAGAAAAAAAUAAAAUCUUUUUGAUUUUAUUUUUUUGUUGAUGAAUUCUGAGAAUCCAUUUGUGAUGAGACUCUGAGUGACCAAACCAACUGCUCAAAAUUCUUUGUUUUUUGUUUUUUUUUCUGAGUCUGCAUGAGAGGGAAGGAACACAUUUGGUACUCUUUCAAGCCAGAGCACUUGGAGAAACAACCAUGGUUGCUAUGGUCAACAUCAGCCACUCACACUCACACCCUUUCAGUUCGUUCCAAUUUUCGUUUCGCCAAGUUUCUCUAUCGGCGCCUCCUUCUCAAGUUCGCCAUCGCUUCGCUCCUCGCCAACGGUUGAAUUUUCAGCCGUACAGUUCCUGCAGGUUUGACAGUUUAGUUUCAAGGUGUUCAAUAACAAACACCAAUGUACAGUUUGACCAGGUUGCUGCUGAGGAUGAGAUCCAAGAAGAUUUUUCAGCUGUUGAAUCUAACUCUUCGGUCCCGAUUGUUCGUCUCAAUUCUGAUAUUCUUGAAACUGAAUCAUUGAACUUACUGACCGAAGGGGCUUAUGUAGAUAGUCUAUUGACAAAAUUGCCAGUUUUAUCAGAGGAGGAGCAAAAUGCCCUUGCCGCAAUUCCGGCCCAUCCAGCAGGAUUGUAUGCUUUAUACGCCAGCUGUGCUGCUGGGAAUUUAGUGGAACAGCUUUGGAACUUUGCUUGGCCUUCUGCAAUUGCAUUGCGCCAUCCAAGUCUUCUACCUGUGGCUGUCAUAGGAUUCUUCACUAAGCUUACAAUAAUUGGUGGAGGCCCUUUGGUUGGAAAGCUUAUGGAUCAUGCUCCCAGAGUGCCUUCAUAUAUUUGUCUUAAUGUUGUCCAGGCAGCUGCACAGUUGUUAUCUGCAUCAAUGAUUAUAUAUGCCUAUACUCGUCCUCGUACUUCUGCAUCAUCCAUACUUCUCCGUCCUUGGUUCAUUGUGCUAGUAUUAGCUGGGGCUGUUGAGAGGCUAUCUGGGUUGUCAUUAGGGGUUGCUAUGGAGCGUGAUUGGGUGGUGCUGUUAGCAGGAAUAAAUAGGCCAAUUGCACUUGCUGAAGCUAAUGCUGUUCUAAGUCGAAUUGAUCUUCUCUGUGAGGUAGCUGGGGCAUCUCUGUUUGGUAUCCUUCUCUCUAAGUUUGAUCCAGUGACUUGCUUGAAGUUUGCUGCUGGUUUGAUGUUAUGUUCAUUGCCUGUUGUGGUUUUUCUGACAUGGUUAACCAACAAGCUCUCUACCGGCGUUCUUGAUCGUAAUAAAACUUCACAAACCUAUUGCAAAACAUCCAAUGGGGAACCUUUUCCUGAUGAUGACAAUAAAGUGGAUAUAGGUCUUGAAGCUAUUAAACAUGGGUGGAAGGAAUACAUGCAGCAGCCAGUUCUUCCUGCAAGCCUAGCAUAUGUGCUUCUCUACUUCAAUGUCGUUCUCACUCCAGGCAGUUUGAUGACUGCAUUCUUAACUCAGCAUGGUCUAAAUCCAUCAAUCAUUGGGGGAUUUAGUGGGUUAUGUGCUUUUAUGGGUGUUGCAGCAACAUUUAUAUCUGCGGAUUUAGUGAGGCGAUUUGGCAUUUUAAAGGCUGGAGGAAUUGGAUUGAUAUUUCAGGCUUCACUUCUCACCAUAGCUCUUGCUGUGUAUUGGAGCGGAUCUCUCAUCCAGCAGAGGCCCCUUCUUUUCUUCCUAUCUUUGAUUGUAAUUUCAAGAUUGGGUCACAUGUCAUAUGAUAUUGUGGGGGCGCAGAUUCUGCAAACUGGGAUUCCAUCAGGAAAAGCAAAUCUUAUUGGGACAACAGAGGUUGCAGUUGCUAGUUUGGCAGAGUCUGUAAUGUUGGGAGUUGCGAUAGUAGCAAACAAUGUUUCACAUUUUGGUUUCCUUGCACUGCUGUCACUUUUAUCAGUGGUUGGGGCAGCAUGCAUAUUCUGCCGAUGGUUGUUGAAUCCAACGGAUGAACAAAGAAGUCUUUUCUCUUUUGACCCUCAGUUUUAGUUCUCAUUGCCCUGCAACUAUUUUUGGAUGAAAACUCCUCUUAUUCUUCUAAGGUCAAGGUGUCGAGAUAUUGCUGACUGUUAAGACCAUAAGAUGAAUCUUAGAGCUGCCCCUAAAUCUCAAGGCUGCCUUUGCACCAUUACUACAGAGGAGUUAAGCAGUUGAUCCAUCACUUUCCUUGGUGCAAAGGCUGUUUUGACAUAAAUUGGAGUCCAACCAGGUAUGUAAAUAUACCUAUUACAAAGUCCACAAUGAUCAAUAUAGAAGACUCAAGGCUAUAUAUUCUUGAUCUGCUCAGUUGGUCACACUAUUCAUGAGGUCAAAUCGGAUUGGCGUGAUGAAAUAGAUAACAAAGUUUCAAAAAGGUUUUAAAGUUUCAUCGGUGUAGGCCGCAGCUGUACAAACAUUUUUAAAGAAUUGAUUCAUUGUAGUUUAUUUUACUUGCUAUAAAACAUUUGAUUUGGACGUU